UUAAGUCAGCCAAUUCUUUCUCUCUUUCUUUUUCUUUUGGCCGUUCGUUAUCUCUUCAGGUUUUGCAUUUUUUUUCCCCUUGUUUUCUUCAUGUCGUCCCCCUCCCUCCUGAAGGAGAGGUAAAACUCAACGUGGGUGAAAGAGAGUGGCCACCUCCUCAAACCAUUUUGCACGUUUAAAGAAAAUGUGAGUAAUUGCUUCCCCAAUUUCUUUUAUUAUAUAUACAUAUUUUAUAUAUUUUAUAUAUAUAUAUAUUAUUAAUUUAUUAGUUUAUUACUUAUUUGUAAUUAGGUGGUUCAGAUUCUUUUGUUGAUCAAUUUCCACCUUAAUUUUGCUUACCACUUAGAACUCACUUUCCUAGAAUGCAGGAGCCACUUCCAUUGGAAAUUAUCCCAGUUUCAUUUUCAGUUUGUGAGUCUUUGUAGAUUUGCCAAUGGGGUAUCGACUCUUAACGGAUAAAACAAUGGUUUUGAAGAUUUGCCCGUAAAGCUCCGGUAUUUUCACCAGCUCGAGUGUUUUCAACAUCACCACCUUCUCCUUGUUAUUUGCCUUUACCAGCAGUGUUGUUCAUGGCUUUGUUCUGUCCUAGCAACAACAUGAAAACAAAUCAACAAAAAAGAGAUAGGUCCUCGUCGGAUCCUCUUUGUGAGGAUCACGAGGAUUCUUUAAUCCUGUCAUUCCAUCGUACAUCGUGCAAUCAGAAAUCAUUUUAAAUUAUAUGAUUCAAAAUUGAACACAAACAGUACCUGACGAAAAUUGACCGCACGAUGUAUGAUGAACGAACAUGAUUAAAGGAUCUCCGGGAUCCUCACAAAGAGGAUCCGGCGAGGAUCCUAUCUCAACAAAAAAAUGCAUUGAUCUACUAACAAUUUGAUACUUUAUGUCUUCAAAUAAAAAACAAGAUCAAAUAGCUACAAUAUUUCCCCAGGUAAACAAAAUUAUCAAUUAAAAAUAUUGAACACUAACUAUUUCUCGAAUUGGAUAGGGGUACCGAUACUAUUUCUUAAAUAGAACAUUAGUACUAUUAUUAUUUCUUAAACUGAAUACUAGCACUAUCAAUAUUUCUUAAACUGAACAUUCAUUAUUUCUUAAACUAAGCACUGGUACUGUCACUAUUUCUUAAACUGAACAUUCACUAUUUCGUAAACUGAACACAAAUAUUAUUACUAUUUCUUAAACUGAAUAUUCACUAUUUUGUAUACUGAACACGGGUAUUAUCAUUAUUUCUUAAACUUAACACUAAUAUUAUUACUAUUUCUUAAGCUGAAUACUGACUAUUUCUUAAAUUGAACACUGACUAUUUUUAUAAUUGAAUACAGGUACUGUCACUAUUUCUUAAACCAGAAAUAGUGAAUUAGGGUUUAGUUAUUAUGAUAUAUUGUUGGAUUAUGAUUAACAUAUAAUUGUGUUCUGGCCUUAUAGAAAAAAAGGUACACACCAUGUUAAAUACAUGUAGGUAUUUAUAUAUAAAUAUAUAUUACGCACGUAUACUGUAAUUCCAACUUUUGAUAGAUCAAGCCAUGAGUUUCCCAGUCCCCUUCAUGCACCUGGAUACUGCCAGAACAAAUUUUUGGGACGUGUGGCGAGCCUGGCUCUUGAAGAUGUUGUAGAACUUCUCAGCAGGUGCCUUGAUUUCGAUCUCAGUCUCAACCUUACCGUGCAGAGUCAUGUUUAUGAUCAGUUGGGAUGGCACCAUAAUUAAUCAAUUUGCACCAUACUACUAAAUUUUUUUAAUUUUUCAUCAUUUCUUUCGUUAAGUAGGUGUGCUAUCCGCAUGACUGCCUUCAAAGGGUAAAAAAGUCAUUUUACCUACACCUUCUGUCUUCUUUCUUUUCUCCGAACUUUCUCUUCUUCUUCCUUUUCACCAAGCCGAGCCCGUGCUGUUCCACCAUGCUCCACCGGCACGAUUUUCCGGCGAACACCAAAAGAAACAAUGGGAGGGAUCUGAGCUCGUAGAUUCGCGUUCACUACAUCCCUUUCUUACACUCAUCGCAAACCCUACCCUCCUAUUCCAGUGGGUACACCUCCCCCGUCGCCAUUGAGUUUCUGAAUAAAAACCGCGCGUACAACUCGACCACCACCGCCGCCACUCCUACGGCUCCCAUAGCCACCAACGCGUGCUCUCGCGAAGACCCGCACCUGAAGUUGGUGCCUUCGAUUAUGAUCGAGUACUUGGACUUUGUCUCUCCCGGAUCCACGAAGCGCAUGGAGUAGGAGGCGGGGAGGCCGCAGAGCGCGUAAGACCCAAGCUUGGCGAUGUGGGGAGAAGAUGAGAUAGAUUUGAUCAAGCCUUGCCAAAGAAUCUGGGAAGUACAAAAUAAUAGGAAUAUUAUUAAACUAACGAGAAUGCGGGAAUGGCUACAAAACCCUAGAAUGCUACAUUGUGACUAAUUUAUUGUUCUACGAGCUACAAAGCAUCAUAUAUAUAGAGAACUAACAUAACCCUAGUAGGCAAGAAAACGAAACCCUAAUACUAACGGGCUAAGCCCAAAUUCAAACAAUAAAAUAAUCAUAAAUUCUAACACCCCCCAUCAAACUCAUGACGGUAUACGGCAAGAGUUUGGAACAAGAAGAGGCGGAUGCAAGCUCCGUUAGGCAGACACGACAAAACAAGCUCCGUAGGCGGACACGACAAAGCAAGCUCCGUUAGGCGGACACAAUAAGGCAAGCGGGUGAGCAACCAAGUGAGCAAAUGAACAAUCCAAGCUUCAAUCAACAAGGCCCAACCAAAGGCCUUCAAACAAAUCAUAAUAGCAACAACACGUUUGCCCCAACAAAAAGCAACAAAUACUGCCUACCAACUCUUUUCCACUAGCAACUUUUCACAGGUCAACAAACUUUUUUUUUCUUUGCUUUCUUCCUUCGAUCUGCGAACAAAGUGUGGUAACAAAUGGUGGGUGCGGCGGUUGCUGGGUAGGGCAAGCAAAUUCAUCUCUAGGUGCAGUUAUGGGACGACAUCAGGUUACAAGUCCGGGCAGCAAUGGUUCCAGGUGGGUUCAACGGAUUAUGGGUAGCAAUGGGUUUCGAUAUGGGCUUCAAAAAGUUGUCAGGCAGCAGCAAUGCGAAUCGAUUCAGAUGGUACAGGCUAUAGCAACGAGUGCGAUGGCCAACUCGUGCAUGCGUCAUUGGGUGGCAAGACGACGACGUGAUGCAUGCAGCAAAUAGAUUCAAUUUUUUCUCCCUUUUUUUAAGCAACAAAACCCUAACUAGGGCACAACGACAAACCACAACGAAGAAGAGGAAUGUGACAAGACAAACAAACUAGCUACCAAGAACAGAUUCAACCCAUCAAACCUGCUAUGAUACCAAGUUGAAUAUCAGAGUGCGCAACGAACAAGACUACAAAAUAAUAUGAAUAUUAUUAAACUAACGAGAAUGUCAGAAUGACUACAAAACCAUAGAAGGCUACAUUGUGACUAACUUAUUGUUUUACGAGCUAUAAAGCAUCAUGUAUAUAGAGAACUAACCUAACCCUAAUAAGCAAGAAAACGAAACCCUAAUACUGAUGGGUUAAGCUCAAAUUCAAACAAUAAAAUAAUCCUAAAUUCCAACACUCCACAUACUCUACUGCACCAAAUUCCCCUUUCUCUCUCUUCUCUUCUAUUCUCUCUCUCUCUCUGCUUUUCCUUUUCACAUUGCUUCUUAUUGAUGACCCACAACCACUCUAACACGUUGCCGCUACUCUCUUCCUUCCUUUCCUUUCCUUGUAAGAAAACAAGUAUUCUUCCCCUCCUCUGAGCGCUUUUUACUCUCAGAGAUUUUCCCCAACUGAGUUUUUCAUUUACUGCAAAAACAUAUUUUCUUUUGGGGUUUGGGGUUUAAAGGGAGGGUUUUUCUCUGUUUAUUUACAAAUUUAUUGAAAAGUUGAGCUCUUUGUGCUUCCGAUGUAAUGAGUUCUCUUUCCUUUAAAGGGUCUUGUUUGGUAACUUUGGUUACUGAGAAAAUGAGCGUUCUCUAUCGUUUGGUAUGCAGACGGGACGGGACGAAACGGAAUGGGACGGGACAGGACGGGACAGAACAGAGAGGAAGCGAAGAUGCCCUCGGAUGGAAACAAGAAGGAAGAAGAAGAAGAUGGAGAGGUUAUAAUUUUGUGUUCCACAGAUGUGGAACGAGUCGUUCCAGGGGGAUGAGGUGGAACAAAAAUUCACCAAAAACUCGUUAUGUGGAACAGUAUGUUCCACCCGUUUUAGGCGCACCAAACAUGGGACAGAACGCCCCGUCCCACGUACCAAACGGUACCUAAGAGAUGAAUUUGGGGAGUACAAAGUGAAAGUGUUGGUGGAGAGAAUGGAAUGUGCAGGGGAAUGACUUUUUUGCCCUUUAAAGGGUAGUCAUGUGGAUAGCACGCGACCUACUUAAUGUAAGAAUAGAUGAAAAAUUAAAAAAAUUGACAAAAUGUGCAAAUUGACUAAUUAUGAGAAUUGAGGGAGGAAAUUGACCAAAAUUAGAGUUGAGAGAGGAAAUUGGCCAAUGUUUACAAGUUAAUUAUGAAUACCUGUAUUAAUUUAUGCGAUAACUUAGAAAAAGUAGUGCUUCAAAGGAUCGCAUGAAAAACAUUCGUUUAUUAAAAAAAUUCAGAUAAAGGAAAUAUAUAAGACAAACGUACGUAAUCACUUUCGGUUCGAUUAUGAACAUGAUUUGGAUCAAUAAUAUUAGGGUGCUAUAUAUUAUUGAUAUUAUUAGAUUUCAAUAACCAAUCACUGGUUUUUUUGCAAUAUUAUACUUGUACAUUUUCAAGCUACCACAUUUUUUUCCUUCUGGAUGUAUGAAAAUUUAGGUAUUGCGUUUGUUCCUUUGUUAAGAAGUCAUCCCCAACUCCCUUGCCCUAUUAUUUUUAUCAAGGAAAAAUAACUCCCCAGUUUAAAAGCUAUAUAAUUAACCAGCAUGAAUGCUGGACAACUGUCGAAAGCAAAACUCAAAAUUCAUUGUAUAAUUAACAGUGAGACUAAAGGCUGACUAAGAACAUGAUUGUCAAAAGUUAUAUAAAAAAAAUAUAUAUCAGAGUAAAUCUCCAACAAAUCAGAAAGUAAAUCGUUAAAAUAUAGAGUAUACAUACAUAUAAAGUGAAUAAUUAAUAUAGAAUAUCUUUUGUACUAAAAAAUAUAUAUAUAUAUAUAAUGUUGAGAAUGAAUUUCACAUUAAUAGGAAGAAGGACUUUGCAUAAACUUAUAAGUAAGUUGGGCUACUCUCUCAUAUUGCCAAUUGAUUUUAUGAUAGAACAUCAACUUUCUUCAUGGUACCAGAGUAGGUUGUCUCACAUAUGAAGCCAAACGGCCACGUGCGCUCCAUGUCACCCCUUUGUGUUGUCCACGCGUUAGGCUUGAAAAUUCGUCACACGUGAAAGGAUGUGUUGAAAAUGAAUCUCACAUUGAUGGGAUGAACGACCUUACAUAUUGGACAAAUAUUGUAGAGUACACCACAUUUUAUUUAUAGAUGAUCGACAACCAUAAUCUAUUACAUCACAAUGUCAUAUAUGACAUCCUUCGUACAUCUUUUAAAAUACACACAAACCUAAUUAAGAAAAGCAUUUUAUUUAAGUAGGUACGCAUUGAUGAACAUAUGCAUGCAUGAUUACAUAUAAUUGAACCCUUUCUAACAAGACCAGCAAAAGCUCUUUCCAACCGUUGCAUAUGCUGCAGCCUGCAGAUAUGGUUUUUAUUCGUUAAUUUAUUUAUUUAUGCUCCCAGAAAGUGAGCGUCAAGAUCCUGGACGAGUUUAACCAUCAAACCGACAUAUCUAUCUGGAGCUUCAACAUUCUCAUUCAGUUUCUCGUAUUCGAUCCACAGGUUGGCAAUGCAGGUGCUUUCAUCUUUUUGAGUGAAUUUAUAGACACCCUUGAAGCUGUUAUAACUAUGAGUGUAUGAUGAUCUGAGCACAACUGUUAAGGUAUACAUACAUAUAAAGUGAAUAAUUAAACAGGAAAAUUGAAGUAGUGGUACCUAGUUCAUAUUUCCAAAUCUUAAUAGAGCCGUGUGUUUCCCAG
RNAcentral lists this long non-coding RNA (5983 nucleotides) under Malus domestica (apple). Its description in RNAcentral is "long non-coding RNA (MDOM_LNC016009)". The record is from RNAcentral. Lineage: Eukaryota; Viridiplantae; Streptophyta; Magnoliopsida; Rosales; Rosaceae.